Nephila pilipes (giant wood spider) is the source of this 103-nucleotide non-coding RNA. The record is from the annotation of a GenBank genome assembly. Lineage: Eukaryota; Metazoa; Arthropoda; Arachnida; Araneae; Nephilidae.
CAACCAUACCAUGCUGAAAGUACCAGUUCUCAUCCGAUCACCAAUGUUAACCGUCAUCGGGUGCGGACAGUACUUGGAAGGGUGACCAGAUAGGAACAUCGCA